AUGCUGCGGGCCACACAGGGUGAUGACACCGGAGGUAGGGCAGCACGCCGGGUGGAGGACGUCGCGGCCACCAGGGGCGACGGCAGUGUGGCGACGACGGCGGGGCGAGGAGAGGUUGGGAAGCAAGGCGGGUCGAGGAAGGACGUGCACCGGGGUGGAGGACAUCGCGGCCACCAGGGGCUAGGGCGGCGUGGCGGCGGCGGCGGGGCGAGGAGAAGUAGGGCAGCAAGGCGGGUCGAGGAUGUCCACUGGGUCAAGGACGUCGCAGACACCAGCGCUGAUCGCGGCGGUUCCUGGAGUGGUGGCGGCGUAGAUCGCGGAGGUGCUGUUUAA
Molecule: ribosomal RNA, 333 nt
Filed under: Triticum aestivum (bread wheat)
Lineage: Eukaryota; Viridiplantae; Streptophyta; Magnoliopsida; Poales; Poaceae
Description: partial small subunit ribosomal RNA
Source: RNAcentral